GUUUCUGCAGGGUGUGGUCCCUGAAAAUGGGAGCUGCUCCAGGGAGGACGGGGCCUCAGGGAAGAGCCCUCACCUCUGAGCUAGGAAGGAAACAGAGGCCGGAAGCAGGAAGGCCUGGCUGCUGCUGUGCCUGCCACUGCUGCAGCCGGUGUCCUGGGAUGACCGUGGGUGGCUGUGGACAGGCUGCAGCCUCUUUGGCUAUCUCUGACCUCUUUAGGAACAGUUCGUAGAAUCCCCAGGAAAACACAGUUCUGAGCAUGCACUGGCACACACCCGGAGUUUCCUGUGUUUGGAACUCUAGAGGUAAUUUUCCGAUGCCAAAGGAGAAAGCACCGAAGCCCACUUGGACUGGCACCGCACCUCUACCCUCGGAGGCUAGCGACCUCCCACAUCUUCUUUGACCCCAGUUUCUGCUUCUUUAAAAUGGAUCCAGGCAGCAUCCCCUCUCCAGGAUGAUGAGGGUGACUGGACUUGCAGAUGGGUGGAGGAGUCAGGGCAGUUCACAGUCAUUUGACCAUCUCCCACCUGGAGAGUCUGUGGGUGAAGAAUGGACUGAGUGGUAUUUCAUUGCAAGUCAUCAACCUCACUCCAGCCAGCUUGGUGAUUUUUACCAGAGACUUGAAUGAAGACACAAAAGAUGUGUCUAGCCAAACCUCAGAAGCAUAUAAUGUUUUGACAUAGCUGAUUUAUGAUCCAAAACUCUCUUCCCAGGUGGAAUUGCUAGCCCA
This 728-nucleotide long non-coding RNA is filed under the name Mus caroli (Ryukyu mouse). Its description in RNAcentral is "lncRNA (MGP_CAROLIEiJ_G0005428.1)". The record is from RNAcentral. Lineage: Eukaryota; Metazoa; Chordata; Mammalia; Rodentia; Muridae.